UUUAAUGAGAGUUUGAUCCUGGCUCAGGACGAACGCUGGCGGCGUGCCUAAUACAUGCAAGUAGAACGCUGAGGUUUGGUGUUUACACUAGACUGAUGAGUUGCGAACGGGUGAGUAACGCGUAGGUAACCUGCCUCAUAGCGGGGGAUAACUAUUGGAAACGAUAGCUAAUACCGCAUAAGAGUAAUUAACACAUGUUAGUUAUU
RNAcentral lists this ribosomal RNA (206 nucleotides) under Streptococcus agalactiae. RNAcentral's name for it is "partial 16S ribosomal RNA". It matches the Rfam family "Bacterial small subunit ribosomal RNA", at positions 1 to 201 of the family's 1533-position model. RNAcentral also lists the same sequence under 1 other name. The record is from RNAcentral. Lineage: Bacteria; Bacillati; Bacillota; Bacilli; Lactobacillales; Streptococcaceae.